UACGGAGGGUGCAAGCGUUAAUCGGAAUAACUGGGCGUAAAGGGCACGCAGGCGGACUUUUAAGUGAGGUGUGAAAUCCCCGGGCUUAACCUGGGAAUUGCAUUUGAUACUGGUAGUCUUGAGUUAUUUAGAGGGGGGUAGAAUUCCAAGUGUAGCGGUGAAAUGCGUAGAGAUGUGGAGGAAUACCGAUGGCGAAGGCAGCCCCCUGGGAAUAUACUGACGCUCAUGUGCGAAAGCGUGGGGAGCAAACAGG
RNAcentral lists this ribosomal RNA (253 nucleotides) under uncultured bacterium. RNAcentral describes it as "partial 16S ribosomal RNA". It matches the Rfam family "Bacterial small subunit ribosomal RNA", at positions 524 to 776 of the family's 1533-position model. The record is from RNAcentral.